AGGUGAGAGGGCAACUGGGCUGCGGUAUGUCACCCCGCCGAUAGCCAGCAUCCUUUGGACCAGUCUGGCUGGCUAGGCAGGUGUCUCCUUGCUCCUUGCGGCUCCAUGUGCAUCCGUCCCAAAGCUGUGACAUGUUGAAGAGGACAGCCACCCCCGACAGGAGGACGGGUCUGGUGUCGAGUAGCCGUGCUCCCCUGCUAGAACCUCCCAGCAAGCGCUCAAGGACAUGUUGUGUCUUGCCCUAUGCCAUCUUCCUGGGGCAGGCUGGUGGGAUAUUGCUUCAUCUUGGCCACUUUACUCCUACAGUUAGU
This 311-nucleotide small nuclear RNA is filed under the name Octodon degus (degu). Its description in RNAcentral is "7SK RNA (ENSODEG00000024543.1)". It matches the Rfam family "7SK RNA". Rfam says of the family: 7SK was discovered as an abundant small nuclear RNA in the mid-70s but a possible function has only recently been suggested. Lineage: Eukaryota; Metazoa; Chordata; Mammalia; Rodentia; Octodontidae. The record is from Rfam by way of RNAcentral.